RNAcentral lists this ribosomal RNA (494 nucleotides) under Sphaerulina gei. RNAcentral describes it as "eukaryotic LSU rRNA". The stretch from base 162 to 315 matches the Rfam family "5.8S ribosomal RNA". Lineage: Eukaryota; Fungi; Ascomycota; Dothideomycetes; Mycosphaerellales; Mycosphaerellaceae. The record is from RNAcentral.
GCGGAGGGAUCAUUACCGAGCGAGAGCCUUCGGGCUCGACCUCCAACCCUUUGUGAACACAACUUGUUGCUUCGGGGGCGACCCUGCCGUUUCGACGGCGAGCGCCCCCGGAGGCCUUCAAACACUGCAUCUUUGCGUCGGAGUUUAAGUAAAUUAAACAAAACUUUCAACAACGGAUCUCUUGGUUCUGGCAUCGAUGAAGAACGCAGCGAAUUGCGAUAAGUAAUGUGAAUUGCAGAAUUCAGUGAAUCAUCGAAUCUUUGAACGCACAUUGCGCCCUCUGGUAUUCCGGAGGGCAUGCCUGUUCGAGCGUCAUUUCACCACUCAAGCCUGGCUUGGUAUUGGGCGCCGCGACGUUCCGCGCGCCUCAAAGUCUCCGGCUAAGCUGUCCGUCUCCAAGCGUUGUGAUUUCAUUAAUCGCUUCGGAGUGCGGGCGGCCGCGGCCGUUAAAUCUUUCACAAGGUUGACCUCGGAUCAGGUAGGGAUACCCGCUG